GUCGUGAUAGCUUAGCUGAUGGAGCAUCCCUCCCCGCACGCGGAGGGUCGGCGGUUCGAUGCCGGCUCGCGAUG
This 74-nucleotide transfer RNA is filed under the name Fasciola gigantica. Its description in RNAcentral is "tRNA-Ala". The record is from RNAcentral. Lineage: Eukaryota; Metazoa; Platyhelminthes; Trematoda; Plagiorchiida; Fasciolidae.